UGGCAAUCGGGUAAAAAACCUAUGACAAGUAUAUCAAAUUCCAGAGCAUGCACUUUUUACAUAGCUCUAAAUAGCUGACUUCCUGUUGGGCGGAGCCUAUGACAUGCAAUACGAAAGUUGUUCGGCACAAUGAGAUCUAUAUGUAUACUGAGUUUCAUAUGAAUACGUGCAAGUAUGUUUGAACUAUACAUCAACAUUUCUGACUGUGUUCCAGGGGGCGCCGUAGAGCCCCUGUGCCACGCCCGGGUCUCAGCCUCUGCAGCCUCCUAAUGGCCACAGAUUCUAAGGUGUGUGCAAAUUUUCAAGAGUUUUUGAGCAUGUUAAGGGCCCCAAAAGCCCCCACAACUUUGACGAAAAAUAAGAAUACUAAACCCUAAAUAGCCAACUUCCUGUUGGGCGGAGCCUAUGACAUGCAGUACGAAAGUUGUUCGGCUUGAUGAGAUCUAUAUGUGUACCGAGUUUCAUACGUCUACGUGCAAGUAUGUAUGAUAUAUGGCCCUCCAUAUUCCAGGGGGCGCUGUAGAGCCCCUGUGCCACGCCCGUGUAUCAGUCUCUGCCCGGCCCUAAUGGCCGCAGAUUCCAAUGUGUGUGCCAAUUUUCAAGAGUUUUUGAGCAUGUUAAGGGCCCCAAAAGCCCCCGAAACCUUGGAAAAAAAUUAGAAGAAUAAAGAAAAAAAAAAAAAAAAAUAAUCCUAAGGAAAACAAUAGGGCUCUUCGCCCUCCAGGCUUGAGCCCUAAAUAUAGCUGCAAGCAGCGAUGGCGGGCCCGAGCCGUCAGCGCAAACGCCACCCCGGUGGCAUCAGGAAAACUGUGCCCAGCGGCACAUACACAAUAACCCUCUAGCUCAGGGGUGUCCAACUCUGUUAAUGGCGAUCGACUGUCCUGUAAAGUUUAGCUCCAACCCUACUCAAACACACCUGAAGCAACUAAUGAAUGUCUUCAGGAUUGCUUGAAAAUUAAAGGUAGGUGUGACUGAUUAGAGUUGGAGCUGAACUUUGCAGGACAGUCGAUCACCAGGAACAGGAUUGGACACACUUAAUUUAGCAGUUUGGAAUUAAGGCAUACAGCAAUGAAAGGGUUAAUCCGAACCAUCAA
Cyprinus carpio carpio is the source of this 1094-nucleotide long non-coding RNA. The record is from Ensembl. Lineage: Eukaryota; Metazoa; Chordata; Actinopteri; Cypriniformes; Cyprinidae.